RNAcentral lists this small RNA (65 nucleotides) under Sinorhizobium meliloti 2011. RNAcentral's name for it is "putative ncRNA". Lineage: Bacteria; Pseudomonadati; Pseudomonadota; Alphaproteobacteria; Hyphomicrobiales; Rhizobiaceae. The record is from RNAcentral.
AUCCCUAAGGGCGCGCCCACGGCAGCGCCGAUUUCUCCCGCACCCUCAAGGGUGAUAGUCAGACC